Salvelinus sp. IW2-2015 is the source of this 1816-nucleotide long non-coding RNA. RefSeq lists it as uncharacterized. NCBI's taxonomy places the organism in Eukaryota, Metazoa, Chordata, Actinopteri, Salmoniformes, Salmonidae. The record is from RefSeq and is a predicted model, not a curated record.
GAGACAACGCCUCACUCUGACCAUUUUACUCACCCUAGCAAAGCUGGUUAGUCUGUUUUCAUGUUAUCUAGAGCGUCGGUGACUGUAACCGUGCUGCUGACAACAAUUUAAUGACGUGUUUUUUUUGCCCGACACCGGCCAUAUUCAACGGGUGUUGAGCGUUUGUAAAUUCAUCAGUUAUUCUGCGCGCUGGCACAUUCAGACAAGAGUACUUUGAAAUCAGAGUAGAUGUUGGUUUAACCCAAAGCUACCGGAGGAUACCUAUGGCUAGCUGAGGGUUACUAUGGCUACCUGAUAGUUACUAUGGCUAGCUGAGGGUUACUAUGGCUACCUGAUAGUUACUAUGGCUACCUGAGGGUCACGCCACACUCAAACGUACGUGUGGCUCAAAGCACAGUGUUGCUAUUAUAUAAUAUUGUUUAAACGUGUGUAUUCUUUUUGUUGUUUUAUGUAUAAGACCUUUGCACUAAUAUUAACGUGUUCUUGUAUUUUUAGGCUUAUUAUCUUUUUUUGGUUUUGUUUGAAUGACAUUUCAUGUAUUCUUGGGGUUCUGUUCAAUCCGCAUUGUGGAAGUUCAGCUUUACAGCGUGAUUUAAUGAAUUUGUUCUUAACUUACUUGCCUAGUUUAAAUAAAGGUUAAAUAAAAUAAAAAAUGAUAUACAAAUAAAUACAUUUAAGACAAUGCUUUAGCGAAGACGGUAAAAGCUGCAUGUGUCGGCUCGAUUUGAAAUAACCUUUACAUUUCUAUCACUGUAUCUGUAACGCUUUUCAGCUUCCCAGAUUGAAUAGAGCCCCUUUGUAGGUCUUUUACAAGGCCUGUUGAACCUGUGAUGAAACCUGGAGGUCUGUGACAGUUUGUUUUUCGUACCAACCUUCUCAAGGCAACAGUCCACAAUGCACCACGUCAGAUGGACAUAUCAUAGUAGGAUGAAUCUUUCUAGCAUUUAUCUACAUGUUGUUCAGCGCCAGUAAUGACGUGUUGUACAUGAUCCUACUCUAUCUUUGGUACUUUACAUUCUAACUCAAUGCACAGGUAGACAGCUAGUACGGUAGUGUACAGGUAGACAGCUAGUACGGUAGUGUACAGGUAGACAACUGGUACAGUAGUGCACAGGUAGACAGCUGGUACAGUAGUGCACAGGUAGACAGCUGGUACGGUAGUGCACAGGUAGACAGCUGGUAUGGUAGUGUACAGGUAGACAACUGGUACAGUAGUGCACAGGUAGACAGCUGGUACGGUAGUGCACAGGUAGACAGCUGAUACAGUAGUGUAUUAGAAUGAACUCACGUGAAUCAUGUAUUGAUGAGGCUUUUCCUCUCCAUAUAUUCAUUAUUCCAAUAUGUUGUUCAGUACACCAUAAUGCACAUACAUUAGGCUCAAUUAUGCUUUUGCCCCACAACAAUGUUAUGAAUGACUUAAACUUAUUUUUCACAAUGUGAAUUUGUAAAUACUUUUUUUAAAUAUUUUUUUUUACAACUAACCAAAAUUGUAAUUGGAAAAUAUUAAGACAAAAGAAAAGUGGACUUUUGUAAGUACAGUAUAUAGCAAUUAUAUAGUGAUAUUCCCCCAAGGUACUGAUAUGGAACAUCCCCUAUCCUGACUUACAGAGUCUUAACAUAUCAUACAGUCAGUAGAGACAGUAUUCUGUGAUCUGAUUGGUUUAUAAAUGAUGCUCAUUGGUUUCCAUGUAAUUGACGGGGAGAUGAAGAAUGUGUUACGAUGAUAGUCACAUAUUAUUGUCACUUCUAUGGUUUUUAAAAACAGAUUUUGAUACUUAUUUUGUAUGAAAUAAAUGUGUACAGUGCAUUCCUUACA